RNAcentral lists this ribosomal RNA (383 nucleotides) under Robertina sp. RNAcentral's name for it is "partial small subunit ribosomal RNA". It matches the Rfam family "Eukaryotic small subunit ribosomal RNA", at positions 587 to 975 of the family's 1831-position model. Lineage: Eukaryota; Foraminifera; Rotaliida; Robertinidae. The record is from RNAcentral.
AGCUCCAAUAGCGUGUAUUAAAAAUUGUUGCGAUUAAAACGCUCUUAGUUGGAUAUCUGCCAAGGAGAUUCGGUCCUCCCCGGUGGAGAGUGCGCGGAACAUUUCUUGGCACUUGUUCAGGAAAGGUGUUUGCACUUUGUUGUGCGUCACACGAUCUGGGUUUUUACUUUGAGGGAAUGAGACUGUUUCAUGCAUGCUUUUGCCGCGAAUAUGAUAGCACGGAAUAAUAGAACAGGACCCCUUUCAACAGCUGUUGGUUUUUGGAACGAGGUAAUCAUAAUAAGGGCAGUUGGUGGUAUUCGUGUUUGACUGUCAGCGGUGAAAUGCAUGGACUUUUUAAACACGAACUACUGCGAAGGCAUCUGCCCAGGAUGCUUUUGUUG